UUUAACAAUGUGAGACAUGACUUUUGUGGUUAUUUGUAAUAUCCUGUAUGUGUCUGGAGUACUUUGAUGCCUUGGAUUGGAAGCUAACUUAAAAGAUGAACUUUUGAGGGCGUGUUUUCUAUUGUGUGGGGCUUUUGUCGAAAUUAGGAUUCCGAAACACGUUUUUCUACGGUGGGUUCAUUCGACAGCGAUUUACUUUCUUAGAAGUUGCAAGACGGUAUGUUUUUGAUUGCAAUUAUUGGAAGAUGACAGAUCCAUCUUUAAAAUGAUACCAGGUUCGGAAAAAUUGAUACGUCGGAAAGGCAAGAAAAAUGCUGUGAAAGUUGUCAGUUUUAUAAUGGGACCCUAUGGGAAUCGGAAUUAGUGUAAUAUAACCUUUAAAAAGCACAUUUACUGCAAUGUCAAGGUCACAUGGAUUCGUCUGCAAGCGAGACAAGUAGAAAAUGAAUUUUAAUGAAUGUUUUGAUGAUUUGGGUGCUAAAAUAGAUGAGAGGUGUCAAUAUUUUGGUCCAAAUGGAUGUUUUAGGUUGUUUUAGACGGUUCCGGAUGGGUGGGGGACCUGGUAUGGACAAGUAAGGGUAACAUUUCCAACAAAUCUUAAAUGUAAAUAUUAUUAUGUCCAUAGAUUGAAGUUUCAGGUGGAGAGCAAGAUGAAAAAUAUGCAAAAUUACAUGCAUGCAACCCAUUUAUGCCAUUUUUCUCUUUGUUUGUAGGCCUGACCGUUUGUCCUUGAGCCGUAGAUGGUCAACAAUCCGCUAGCUGUCUUGCUCUGACUGGUGCACUGGACAUGAUUUCAAUAGUCAGCCAGACCAUGAUUGAGCUUAAGGAUUGUGCUGCGGAUGCAGCCUGUGCAGUUCCGGGAGAAAGUCACUGUCUCGGGCAAUGCGGUCUGGUAUCAGGUCUGGAUGAUCCUUGCCUGACUGCGGGUUUGUGUACACCUCAAUCCGACUCUGUGUCCUGAACAGAGGCCGCAGUGGUGCAGCGCUUGUGGACGAUCCAUCAACAUCCUGAAAGGUCAACACUACACCAAGCUGUGAAAAUUGAUCCUGAUAGUCAUC
Dreissena polymorpha is the source of this 1058-nucleotide long non-coding RNA. RefSeq lists it as uncharacterized. The record is from RefSeq and is a predicted model, not a curated record. Lineage: Eukaryota; Metazoa; Mollusca; Bivalvia; Myida; Dreissenidae. The transcript is spliced from 3 exons.